This 716-nucleotide ribosomal RNA is filed under the name Plesiastrea sp. PLA. Its description in RNAcentral is "partial 12S small subunit ribosomal RNA". It matches the Rfam family "Bacterial small subunit ribosomal RNA", at positions 312 to 1493 of the family's 1533-position model. The record is from RNAcentral. Lineage: Eukaryota; Metazoa; Cnidaria; Anthozoa; Scleractinia; Plesiastreidae.
UUUCACUGAAACAAGGGAAAACAUUGGCAGCAGUAAAGAAUUUUAUGCAAUAUACGAAAGUAAGACAUAGGCAGAACCUUUUAACCUGUCAAAUUAAGUGCCAGCAGACGCGGUGAAACUUAAGGGUUUGUUUUUUAGAAAAAGCAGAAAGCGUGUAAAGGUAAAAUAUUUAAAAUAAAUAGAAUUUUUUUAGUAAUAGUGAAAUAUUAAAAGAAAAAAAAGAAUUUUUUAUGUGAAAACAAUUUAUUUUUUUCUUUAACACGAAGGUUCUGGGAGCAAACAGGAUUAGAGACCCUGGUAGUCGAUACAGUAAAAGAAAGUCGCUUGAGUAGUACGGUCGCAAGAUUAAAAUUCAAAAAACUUGGCUGUUCAUUGUUAUUUAGAGGAGCGUGUUGCUUAAUUCGACAAUCCGCGAGUUACCUUACCAAGACUAGUUUUUUCAGGUGUUGCAUGGCCGUCGUCAAUUUAUGUUUGAUACAAUAAAUUAAACCCUAGAAAGGUUGAAGUCAGGUAUUAUUGCCCUUAUGUUUUGGGGUUAGAUGCGCUACAUUUUUUUUUUAAUAAAAAAAAAGAGUUCGGAUUGUCUUUUAAAGAGGAUGAUUAAGUUGAAUUUAAUAGUAAUUGAAAAGUAGAGCGUUUCAAUGAAUUUUAAGCAAUGUUAGUACAAAUAGCCCGUCGCCUUUACUGAGGUAAACAAAGUAGAGUAAGUCGUAACA